Molecule: ribosomal RNA, 1720 nt
Filed under: Escherichia coli
Lineage: Bacteria; Pseudomonadati; Pseudomonadota; Gammaproteobacteria; Enterobacterales; Enterobacteriaceae
Description: partial 23S ribosomal RNA
Rfam family: Bacterial large subunit ribosomal RNA
Source: RNAcentral
GGGUUGUGAGGUUAAGCGACUAAGCGUACACGGUGGAUGCCCUGGCAGUCAGAGGCGAUGAAGGACGUGCUAAUCUGCGAUAAGCGUCGGUAAGGUGAUAUGAACCGUUAUAACCGGCGAUUUCCGAAUGGGGAAACCCAGUGUGAUUCGUCACACUAUCAUUAACUGAAUCCAUAGGUUAAUGAGGCGAACCGGGGGAACUGAAACAUCUAAGUACCCCGAGGAAAAGAAAUCAACCGAGAUUCCCCCAGUAGCGGCGAGCGAACGGGGAGCAGCCCAGAGCCUGAAUCAGUGUGUGUGUUAGUGGAAGCGUCUGGAAAGGCGCGCGAUACAGGGUGACAGCCCCGUACACAAAAAUGCACAUGCUGUGAGCUCGAUGAGUAGGGCGGGACACGUGGUAUCCUGUCUGAAUAUGGGGGGACCAUCCUCCAAGGCUAAAUACUCCUGACUGACCGAUAGUGAACCAGUACCGUGAGGGAAAGGCGAAAAGAACCCCGGCGAGGGGAGUGAAAAAGAACCUGAAACCGUGUACGUACAAGCAGUGGGAGCCUCUUUAUGGGGUGACUGCGUACCUUUUGUAUAAUGGGUCAGCGACUUAUAUUCUGUAGCAAGGUUAACCGAAUAGGGGAGCCGAAGGGAAACCGAGUCUUAACUGGGCGUUAAGUUGCAGGGUAUAGACCCGAAACCCGGUGAUCUAGCCAUGGGCAGGUUGAAGGUUGGGUAACACUAACUGGAGGACCGAACCGACUAAUGUUGAAAAAUUAGCGGAUGACUUGUGGCUGGGGGUGAAAGGCCAAUCAAACCGGGAGAUAGCUGGUUCUCCCCGAAAGCUAUUUAGGUAGCGCCUCGUGAAUUCAUCUCCGGGGGUAGAGCACUGUUUCGGCAAGGGGGUCAUCCCGACUUACCAACCCGAUGCAAACUGCGAAUACCGGAGAAUGUUAUCACGGGAGACACACGGCGGGUGCUAACGUCCGUCGUGAAGAGGGAAACAACCCAGACCGCCAGCUAAGGUCCCAAAGUCAUGGUUAAGUGGGAAACGAUGUGGGAAGGCCCAGACAGCCAGGAUGUUGGCUUAGAAGCAGCCAUCAUUUAAAGAAAGCGUAAUAGCUCACUGGUCGAGUCGGCCUGCGCGGAAGAUGUAACGGGGCUAAACCAUGCACCGAAGCUGCGGCAGCGACGCUAUGCGUUGUUGGGUAGGGGAGCGUUCUGUAAGCCUGCGAAGGUGUACUGUGAGGUAUGCUGGAGGUAUCAGAAGUGCGAAUGCUGACAUAAGUAACGAUAAAGCGGGUGAAAAGCCCGCUCGCCGGAAGACCAAGGGUUCCUGUCCAACGUUAAUCGGGGCAGGGUGAGUCGACCCCUAAGGCGAGGCCGAAAGGCGUAGUCGAUGGGAAACAGGUUAAUAUUCCUGUACUUGGUGUUACUGCGAAGGGGGGACGGAGAAGGCUAUGUUGGCCGGGCGACGGUUGUCCCGGUUUAAGCGUGUAGGCUGGUUUUCCAGGCAAAUCCGGAAAAUCAAGGCUGAGGCGUGAUGACGAGGCACUACGGUGCUGAAGCAACAAAUGCCCUGCUUCCAGGAAAAGCCUCUAAGCAUCAGGUAACAUCAAAUCGUACCCCAAACCGACACAGGUGGUCAGGUAGAGAAUACCAAGGCGCUUGAGAGAACUCGGGUGAAGGAACUAGGCAAAAUGGUGCCGUAACUUCGGGAGAAGGCACGCUGAUA